GAUGAAGAACGCAGCGAAAUGCGAUAAGUAAUGUGAAUUGCAGAAUUCAGUGAAUCAUCGAAUCUUUGAACGCACAUUGCGCCCGCCAGUAUUCUGGCGGGCAUGCCUGUCUGAGCGUCAUUUCAACCCUCAUGCCCCUAGGGCGUGGUGUUGGGGAUCGGCCAAAGCCCGCGAGGGACGGCCGGCCCCUAAAUCUAGUGGCGGACCCAUCGUGGCCUCCUCUGCGAAGUAGUGAUAUUCCGCAUCGGAGAGCGAUGAGCCCCUGCCGUUAAACCCCCAACUUUCCAAGGUUGACCUCAGAUCAGGUAGGAAUACCCGCUGAACUUAAGCAUAUCAAUAAGCGGAGGA
RNAcentral lists this unclassified non-coding RNA (348 nucleotides) under soil metagenome. RNAcentral describes it as "partial contains 5.8S ribosomal RNA, internal transcribed spacer 2, and large subunit ribosomal RNA". The stretch from base 1 to 120 matches the Rfam family "5.8S ribosomal RNA", at positions 35 to 154 of the family's 154-position model. The record is from RNAcentral.